RNAcentral lists this ribosomal RNA (484 nucleotides) under uncultured bacterium. Its description in RNAcentral is "partial 16S ribosomal RNA". It matches the Rfam family "Bacterial small subunit ribosomal RNA", at positions 30 to 507 of the family's 1533-position model. The record is from RNAcentral.
AUUGAACGCUGGCGGAAUGCUUUACACAUGCAAGUCGAACGGCAGCACGGGGGCAACCCUGGUGGCGAGUGGCGAACGGGUGAGUAAUACAUCGGAACGUGCCCGGUCGUGGGGGAUAACGUAGCGAAAGUUACGCUAAUACCGCAUACGAUCUGAGGAUGAAAGCGGGGGACCUUCGGGCCUCGCGCGAUCGGAGCGGCCGAUGUCAGAUUAGGUAGUUGGUGGGGUAAAGGCCUACCAAGCAGACGAUCUGUAGCUGGUCUGAGAGGACGACCAGCCACACUGGGACUGAGACACGGCCCAGACUCCUACGGGAGGCAGCAGUGGGGAAUUUUGGACAAUGGGCGCAAGCCUGAUCCAGCCAUUCCGCGUGCAGGACGAAGGCCUUCGGGUUGUAAACUGCUUUUGUAUGGAACGAAAAGGCUCUGGCUAAUACCUGGGGCUCAUGACGGUACCGUAAGAAUAAGCACCGGCUAACUACGUG